GCGUCUUAGUGCAAGAGCAAACUGCAUGGAGGAAAUUGAUUGCUUAUAUCCAUUCGUCCUUUUUCCAGACUAUCCCAGUUGACCGCAGCACAGACUGGCCUCUAGUCAAUCACAGCACAGCACAACCAUUCACGCUUACAUUAUACUGUCACCGAGUGGGAACCCAGAGACACUGAAUGCGUGAAAGUCAGGAAACUGAACCACUAGACCAUCAGUGGCUGGGAAAUAAGGAUUGGUGAUGUCAUCCAUGUAAACUGAGGACACCGAAGGCCUCUUCUCCUGGUUUUAGUGUGCCACGAUGACAUCUAGUGGUCGCAAAACACACACACACACACACUCACACACACACACACGUUGGGGGUUUUUUUUCAUCUGGGGUGGGAAAUAGAAAUGUAAAUCCGCAGUAAAGCAUGAAGAAUCCUGCAGUCUUUUGGGUUCGUGACAUCAACAUGAUGACAGUGACCCGACAACCUGCAAGCACCAUAGGAACAAGGCAACACAAAGCUUUAAGGAUGUCACCACCAAAGCGUCGCACGGCGUCAAAACAUAAAGGUGGCUCAAUGAGGUCACAAGGUGCCACAAAGAGGUUUGACCCGUGUCUGGUCGUACAAGUGUGUCAAACCAAGGAAAAUGGAGGGAAUCUUGAAACUGUUAAACCUUACAUGCCGUAAAUUUCUCUAUUUUGUAUGAGACAAAGGUAACAGUGUUGAAGAGUGAACUUUAAACAGUCCCAAGAACUGUCUUGUGUUUCCACCACAUUUCCACGUUCCCUCGGAAACAUGCUCCUGUUGGUCUACGGAGGGUCAUGGGGUAACGUCAAAACAGUAAAUGAGUCCAAGUCAUAUGCAUGUGUAUUCUUACGCCGUUCACAGAGGAGCUUGAAACAGUCCCGAGAACUGUCUGUGCAACCACCGCAUUUGUGUAGGUUCCAACGGAAACAGGCAGCUGGUGGUCUUUGAAGGGUCAUGGGGGAAUCUCGAAACAGUGGAAGAUAAGAAUGGCCACUCAUCAUAAACAUAAGGAAGGAACAGAAGUCAUAUACCGAGGUCAGAGGCUGCCUUGACGCAGGCACGAAAUCUGCAGCUGCAAUGUAGCAAAUCAAAACACACUUUCGCUUUUCUCUGAAACAUUCAUUAAGGAUUAAUCAUUCAUGCUCUACUGUCACUUAAGCGAUAUUGAAAAGCUUUGCAGUUCAUAAUUUGAUAUACGAUAUUCCCUAACCCUAUAUCGCGGUUGACCUAUUGCGGAUUCAGUGCGUUGCAAAUUCUUUUUUGCCUGAUUUUUUAUUUGUGGUCAAAUAAAUACCUCCCAGCCUGAAACAUUACAUUGUUAAAAGAAAAAAAGAAGAACAUUUCAUUAAACAUAUUACAAGGAAUAAAACAUGCAUGUACAGUACUACUUUGCCUUACUGUAGGUUUAAGAGUUUAAAAGGUGUUUUAAGAGUAUAAAAAGUGUUUGUAAGAGUAUGGUAGCGGUUUAUUGGAUUGUGGGGAAGAUUCAUAAGCAUCUGGGGAGGAUCAUAUAGCUUUAAAAUAUUUGUAAUCCAAAAAAGGUGGCCGCUACCUCGCGGAUUUCACUUGUUGCAGUACUGUAGACAAUCAUUAUGGGGAUAAUCUUGCCCCGUGUAAUAGAGGUUCAUAGAGGUUACGCUUAACCGUCAUACAACUGCUUUGUAACUGAAACACCAUUAUUUUAAAAUAUUGAUCACACAUUUUCUCAUACUUUCACCAAUAGCGUUUCAUGGUUUUAAAACAUAGUUGUUGUUUUUUUUAAAUUUGUGUAUUAUUUUUUUGUACAGCACAGCACAUUCCAAUGGACAAUCUUGAAUAUUGAAGGGAACAUUUGUCUUAGAAACCAGACAACUAGCAACCCUUUAUUGCUCAGUUACUGUUUUUUUUGUCAACGUCUUUAUGUCUCAAAAGUGUUCUCUGUCAAUUGACUUGUCUGUUGUCGCACUAGAGCGGCUCCAACUACCGGAGACAAAUUCCUUGUGUGUUUUUCUGGACAUACUUGGCAAAUAAAGAUGAUUCUGAUUCUGAUGCCUUUGCACUUAUACAAUGUAUCCUUUGUUAAUUAUAAUAUUAUAUCAUAUUUUGGUUUCGUGCAAGGAUAAGAAAGCAGACCUUGUCCCUCUCACUUUGCUGUGAGACAAAGCAAGAUGUCUGCGGUUGAGGGUCCCAGUUGCAUGAGGCAGAUGAUAACUGCCCGUUCAUAUGUGCGUAUAUAAUUUUGCCUAGGGAGAAAUAGGCAGGCACUUCUGAAACGAGCCAACAGGUUGCAUUUGAGCAUUCUCCUUGCUUGCAAGUGUUUAUUAAAUUCUAUAUUUCAUUCUCAAAGUGCUUGUCCUGUCUCUUGUCUACUAAAGAGUUAACAUUUUUGCCUGACAACUUGCUUUUUAAUUGCUUUUAUACAGAUAGUUAAAUUCUCUAAGUGCCUGGCCAGCCAUCAAGUGCGAACUUAAACCAAGUUAAUCUUUUGUUAUCUGCCUAUUUCUGAAAAUGUGUUCAGUUUUGUAACAACUGUACUCAACCUCAUGUCAAAUGGGAGUCAGCACACAACUGCCACCAUUUGAAGACGAGCCCCAAAUAAAGGUCAGAUGUUUUAGUAGGCCUUUCCUGGCAUUUUAUUUCCAGUUCAAACACCUUGGUUGAGCUGGUUCUGGAACAAACAAACAAAAAAAAAAACAACAAAAUAAUCUCAGCUCUGCACUUCCUGUGUGAAGUCUGCAUGUUCUCCUCAUGCUUGCAUUUUUAUUUUAUUCCCCCCCUCCAGGUAGGCCGGCUUUAAUCCACAUUCCAAAAACACAUGUCCCACAUGGUGGACUCUGCCUCUUGCCCAAAGUCAGCUGGGAUGGGCUCCAGCUCACCCACAACCCGAAUGAAGAUAAGCAGUGGAGAAAAUGGAUGGACAAGAGCCUCGGUAAAAUGUUUGAAUACUUUCUGCUCUCUAAAUAAUUGGCAGAGCUUCUAGAGGAGAGGGUUACCAUUUCAGUAAUAAUUUCAUCCCUACCAAGAACAAAUACUGCCUCCGUGAGUGGCUUUUGGGAGUAGAUUCCUUUGAAAACCUGAUUGUGGUUUAUCCUGGAGAGAAACACAUCACUGAACACCUUCCAACCGGACCGCAUCAGUUUUAAGCAAUGAGCCUCAAAAGGAGUGCCAAGAAAGAAGAAAGCAGAGAAUUUCUUGGGAAAACACGGGAAACAGGAGAGGACGUCGCAAUGAAGUCAUCGUGACCAAGAUGCAACGAGGUCAUUGCGGUCUUUAGGAAGUUGUUAGCAAAUUAUAGGAAAACAUGCACUCGGUUUAGUUCAUGGGCACUUUGUUCUUGAGGCUGAAGGACGACAACUGAUUUAAAGACUUCCCGAGGACACUGUUUCCUUUCUUUUUUUUUUUUAUUUUGAAUGAAGUCACGGUCUUCUUUUGGGAUGAUUAUCAGCCUGGUUGAGAGAUUGUCGCAUUACAUUGAAUUAUACUCAAGACUAAGAACAGACACAUUGUGGAUGAUGUUACACUUCGUACCCUAAAACCAGCCCCCCAAAAAACAAACAAAACAAAAACAAGCUGUAAAGUGCUGUACUGUUGUUUUUUUCCUAGCAAUACCGCCACCGCACAAAAGCCAAAAAUUCAUUGGUCAUGGAGUCUUGUCGUGGUGACAAUAUAGUAGGAUUUUGC
Molecule: long non-coding RNA, 3671 nt
Organism: Phyllopteryx taeniolatus (common seadragon)
Lineage: Eukaryota; Metazoa; Chordata; Actinopteri; Syngnathiformes; Syngnathidae
Exons: 3
Source: RefSeq, a predicted model, not a curated record